AGACCAGACUCCUACGGGAGGCAGCAGUGAGGAAUAUUGGUCAAUGGGCGAGAGCCUGAACCAGCCAAGUCGCGUGAGGGAAGACGGUCCUAUGGAUUGUAAACCUCUUUUGCCGGGGAGCAAAAAGCGGUACGUGUACCGCAUCGAGAGUACCCGGAGAAAAAGCAUCGGCUAACUCCGUGCCAGCAGCCGCGGUAAUACGGAGGAUGCGAGCGUUAUCCGGAUUUAUUGGGUUUAAAGGGUGCGCAGGCGGAAGCGCAAGUCAGCGUUAAAAUUGAGGGGCCCAACCUCUUCGAGCCGUUGAAACUGGUUUUCUUGAGUGAGCGAGAAGUAUGCGGAAUGCGUGGUGUAGCGGUGAAAUGCAUAGAUAUCACGCAGAACUCCGAUUGCGAAGGCAGCAUACCGGCGCCCAACUGACGCUGAAGCACGAAAGCGUGGGUAUCGAACAGGAUUAGAUACCCCGGUA
RNAcentral lists this ribosomal RNA (466 nucleotides) under uncultured bacterium. RNAcentral's name for it is "bacterial SSU rRNA". It matches the Rfam family "Bacterial small subunit ribosomal RNA", at positions 328 to 792 of the family's 1533-position model. The record is from RNAcentral.